UACGAAGGGGGCUAGCGUUGCUCGGAAUUACUGGGCGUAAAGGGCGCGUAGGCGGCACUGUUAGUCAGGCGUGAAAGUCCUGGGCUCAACCUGGGAUCUGCGCUUGAUACGGCAGAGCUAGAGGAUGGAAGAGGGUCGCGGAAUUCCCAGUGUAGAGGUGAAAUUCGUAGAUAUUGGGAAGAACACCGGUGGCGAAGGCGGCGACCUGGUCCAUUACUGACGCUGAGGCGCGACAGCGUGGGGAGCAAACAGG
Molecule: ribosomal RNA, 253 nt
Filed under: uncultured bacterium
Lineage: Bacteria
Description: partial 16S ribosomal RNA
Rfam family: Bacterial small subunit ribosomal RNA
Source: RNAcentral